RNAcentral lists this transfer RNA (72 nucleotides) under Bos taurus (domestic cattle). It matches the Rfam family "tRNA". From Rfam's summary of the family: Transfer RNA (tRNA) molecules are approximately 80 nucleotides in length. The record is from Rfam by way of RNAcentral. RNAcentral also lists the same sequence under 2 other names. Lineage: Eukaryota; Metazoa; Chordata; Mammalia; Artiodactyla; Bovidae.
UCCCUUGUGACUCAGCUGGUAGAGAAUCUGCCUGAAAUUCAGGAGAUCUAGGUUUGAUUCCUGGGUUGGGAA